GAAACAAGAGAGAAGCUUCUCACAUUUCUCUCACCACACCAGCCCGCAACGCAAACCUGCGCUGAGCAGUCAGCCAGCCCCGAUUGAAGAAAAGGAGGCAAGACGACCCGAUCGCCCCAACCACCGCCGAAAACAAGCCUAGGGCUCAGAGUAAGGCGAGGAAGAACCUUUCGCCGGGACUGACCCAACACCCAGACAAAGGGGAGUGUUUUUCAACAUAUCAAGAAAACAGACGACCCAGUUUCCCCCGGCGCGGACUGGCCUUGUGUAAUGGUUUGAACUUUACUCAGCAUUCUGAGGAAUACCACUGCGCUCUGAUUGGCAACCAGCAGGGGGAGCUCCAGCGGAAACUGCCCAUCUGACAAAGGGUCAUCGGGAAUCGGCCACCAGAAUGCUCCGGGGAUGAUCGGCCGGGACGAAACCGUGCGCACUCGCCCUUCUAACGUCCUCCGAGACCCCCAGGGGCCGACCCUGCCCAGCCGCUACUGCUGCCCGUCCCCAGAUA
Molecule: long non-coding RNA, 505 nt
Organism: Megalops cyprinoides (Indo-Pacific tarpon)
Lineage: Eukaryota; Metazoa; Chordata; Actinopteri; Elopiformes; Megalopidae
Exons: 3
Source: RefSeq, a predicted model, not a curated record